RNAcentral lists this unclassified non-coding RNA (251 nucleotides) under plant metagenome. Its description in RNAcentral is "partial contains small subunit ribosomal RNA, internal transcribed spacer 1, and 5.8S ribosomal RNA". The stretch from base 203 to 251 matches the Rfam family "5.8S ribosomal RNA", at positions 1 to 49 of the family's 154-position model. The record is from RNAcentral.
UCUCCGUUGGUGAACCAGCGGAGGGAUCAUUACUGAGUUACCGCUCUACAACCCUUUGUGAACAUACCUAACUGUUGCUUCGGCGGGCAGAGGUCCCUCGCGGAUCUCUCCCGGCAACGCCCUCACGGGCGGAGCGCCCGCCGGAGGAUACCAAACUCUAUUUUAACGACGUUUCUUCUGAGUGGCACAAGCAAAUAAUUAAAACUUUUAACAACGGAUCUCUUGGUUCUGGCAUCGAUGAGGAACGCAGC